UCUAGUGGACGGUUCUUCAUAAACAGCUCGUCAACCACCUCGGUCGCUUGCUAGCCAACAUAGCCGAAAGAUUCAAGCUAUUUAUACGCUUUCGGUGUAUAUUACCUACUGUGUUAUAGACACACUUCUGUCCUAUCUACUUGUUAACCUAUUUAAUUUAAUAUUACGUUAAUUUUUAUUAGUCAGCUAUAGUAGCUGGCUGGUUAAAUUAGCACUAGCCUAGUCGCUAAUGAUAGCUAGCUAGCUAACAUCCCCGAACAUGAGCUCCAUAAACUUCUCCCCUCCUGUUAAAGAAGAGGAUAAGGUCUGCUGGACGGAGAAAGGAGGUCUGUGGCUGAACAUUGUCGUGAAAGAGGAGGAGGAAGAAGAGGAUGUCACAGUAAAACAAGAAGUAGAGGGUGAGGCUGUUACAGUGAAAGAGGACGACGUUUCAUUGAAAGAAGAGGAGGACGCGUUCAGAGUUAAAGAGGAGGAAGAUGAGAAAGAGGAGGAUGUAGUUUUUGGUGUGAAAGAGGAGGGGGAGAUAACUGUCACAUUGGAGGAAGAAGAGGAGGUUGGAGAUCUGUUUAACCCCAGUUUUCUGUCCUCAGAUAAAGAGCUCUCUGAAAGCCAGUCUACAUAUGAAGAGAUCCCAAUGAAGAGCAGUGGUUCUCAGUCCUGGGGACUCAGAGGCACAUUGUUGUUUUUGUCUCAGCACUGCACAGCUGAUUCAAAUGAUCAACUCAUCAUCAAGCUUCAAGUGAUACCUUGUAACUGGAGAUUCCUUCCAAACGAUUGCCUACAGUUACCGUGUAGGGCACUGCAAGGUUGGGUGACCAGGGUCAUCUGGGACUGUCUCCUGGAGGAGUUCAGGUGUGUGAAGGCUACCUGUGUCCUGCGUAACUUCAUGAGGAUGGACACGCGGACCAGGAGGGGAUCUGCAGAUCGCCGCCGUGUGCCAGAGGAGGAGUCUGCUGCUCUGCAGGAUGUUUCAAGGAUGGGGUCCAACCACGCAGCAAGAGAGGCAAUCCGUGUGCAGGAGAUCUUCACCUCCUACUUCUUCAAAGAAGGUGCUGUUCUCUGGCAACACCAUAGACUACACUAUGCACAACCAAAGGCUCUUUUAAGAGGGUGCUGUUCCCUGGCAACACCAUAGACUACACUAUGCACAACCAAAGGCUCUUCAAAGAGGUUGCUGUUCCCUGGCAACACCAUAGACUACACUAUGCACAACCAAAGGCUAUUUUAAGAGGGUGCUGUCCUCUGGCAACACCAUAGACUACAUUAUGCACAACCAAAGGCUCUUUUAAGAGCUAUUCACAUUGCAAUAAGAGUAUUCUUCCAUUUACUUAGCUAUGUCAACUGCAGUUAUUCAAUUCACAGUUUCUCUCCCUUUGAUUUCUACUUCUCAGGUGAGGGUGCUGUUUAGGUGAGGGUGUGAUGUCUGUGCAAAAACAAAACAGGCUAUUUUAAAUCACUAAUAUUGAAGAAAUGUAGAACAAUUAGACAUCCUAUAACCCACACCUACACACUCAUGUAUCAAUCUGAUUGAUGGAUUGUGUUGUGCAGUAAGCAGGCUCAGGUGUAUAACUGUGGCUCCUUCCACCUUCAAAGAAUAGGCAAGAGGGCCAACCAUGGAGAAUAGUAAGACACUUCAUUAUUUCUAUAACUACGCUAUAUUGUUUGUCCUUGUGUGUCCGUUCAUGUUUUUCAGCAUAAAGUACUCUGCAGCCACUAAGUGUGGUGUGGACACCAGGUGAGGCCACACACAGAUUCCUAUUGAACACUGUGGCUUUAACUACCUUAUUUUCUCAAUAAGUCUCUAUCCUUCACUUCAUCCCUCUCUCCCCUUCUCCCUAAAUCCUCUAGGUUAUAUCAGCUGUGUCGGUGAACCCCUCCUGCAUCUGAACUGGCUACAUAGAGGGCACAGCAUGAUCAGAGAUAUGUUUUGAUGUGAGAGGAUGCCAACCCCCAGUCCCAUCAUCGCCACCUCACCUGCUUUUAAGAUAACCUUGGGGCCGACUAGAGACACUAUUAUGUAAUUGUGAUGAACUGAGAGAAUAUUUAGGUAGCACUGUGUUUCAUUAAUCAUGUGCUGCCUUCCCUGCUCCUAUGUGCUUACCUCUUUCCCUUUCUGUCUUUUACACCUCUCUCUCCACCUCCUCUUUCUUCCUCUGUUUUUAUAAUGCACAACAGAUGUGCAUUGAAGUACAGAUUGAACUUGUAUUUAUAACACUUGGAUAAUGAGCUUUUCAAUAAAGCUUUUCACAUUCUCUA
Salvelinus fontinalis (brook trout) is the source of this 2256-nucleotide RNA transcript. RefSeq lists it as uncharacterized. Lineage: Eukaryota; Metazoa; Chordata; Actinopteri; Salmoniformes; Salmonidae. The transcript is spliced from 4 exons. The record is from RefSeq and is a predicted model, not a curated record.